UGAAAACGCUCAACCAAACCGUUGCAUU
RNAcentral lists this small RNA (28 nucleotides) under Bombyx mori (domestic silkworm). Its description in RNAcentral is "ovarian small RNA-30319". The record is from RNAcentral. Lineage: Eukaryota; Metazoa; Arthropoda; Insecta; Lepidoptera; Bombycidae.